UUCUACAUCCUCCAUCGUUUGAGGCUUACGUUGCCCUGAUUCCUUCUUCAUAUCCUAUGUUUCUUAAUCGUUUCGUUGUUUUUUUCGUUAUCUUUUAAUGUUUCAAACAUGUUUUUCCAACUUUGUUAUCGAAUAUUUGCUCAAUGAUGAUUAAUUUUGCUUUAACCACACCGAAGUGAGGCCGAUGUGUUUGAACUUGAUUGGAUUUACUAUAAAAGUUCUGAUUCCACUUCAAACUGGAAUCUGUUUAACUUUUUGGUCAAAUCCAAUUGAAGAUCAUGAACACAUGUAGCUUCUCAUGUGGAAAACCCUGGCCUUUGUCUGAGAGCAAAUAUAUAUUAUAUAAAUUAUUAUUAUGAGCCGGUGAUGAUAACCUUUUAAGGCUUGUUUCUCAGAGACAUUCGCAGUGGCCGCCUAAGAUCUUUCGCCUUUCGCCGGGCUUGAGAGAUUAUGCUGUUUAUUCCUUCCUUGGAUGUCUGAGGCUCAUUUGUUUUUUAAUAGGGUUAAUAAAUGUUGAUUUAAUAAUAUAGUUUUGGUUUAAUUAGUAUGGAAGAUUGUUUGUUAAUGAUGAUAAUCCAAAGGCUUGUUUCUCAGAGACAUUCGCAGUGGCCGCCUAAGAACUUUCGCCUUCGCCAGGCUUGAGAGUUUAUGCUGCUUUAACCUUCCUUGGAUGUCUGAAACACUUAAUUUUUUGUUUUUUUGUUUAGUUCUUGUAUGCUCUUUUUAUAGCUUGGAUAUAUGGGUUAUUCAGGUUUUAUUUAGUUUUGGUUUACAUUUUUUUUAUUUUUUUAAAUGAACAGUUCUAUUGUUUUGCAAAUGCAUUCAUUUUGCAAUUAUUUUAAUUGUAACCGAAGUGAUUCUGUUUGUAAUAGGUGGAUUUUGAUUUAGCUUUUUUAGGUUAAAACUUAUAUUCUGUUUAAGGUGAGAGGAUGCGCCAAGAAAAAGCGUUGAUAAGUUUAGAGGAUAAUGAAGAUUAUAUGUUUACUGAUAAUCGAAAUUCGUUCUUAAAUGUUCUCAUUUCAGCCAGUUGCCCAACUUAUCAGAGAGAUUGUUGAUGUGUCAGGUAGCACAACUGGCUGAAAUGAGAACAUUCAAAAAUGGAUUUUCUGUUGCUUGGUUCUAAUAUACAAGAACCAAGCUGGGUAAAGAUAUAUCUACUGUUGGAUUACAGUUACAACUCGUGGCCGCAACAGUGGUGCAGGUGUUGUAUAACCCCCAAUUCGAAUUUAAAGGUGGUUGCAGUCUGUGGUGGCAGGUAAUGAGGAAGGUGGCAAAUGGUAAUUGCCGCAGUUAGUGGUAGGUGGUGAAUCAGCGGUUGAUGGAGGUGGAGGUGGGGUGGUGUCAGGUUGUAAUGGAGGGAGAGAUGGGUGGAAAAGACCAAAUUUAACUGGGUUAAGCUUAAAGGACAAAAUGUACAUAAAGGACAAAGCUCGUCAUCUUUGAAAUUCACUCAAAAUUUAAUAAUCAGUUUAGGUUUUAUAAAAGUUAUUUGUGGCCUAGUGGUGAAAGACAUGGGUUCAUUGGUAGAAGAGACCUAAGUUUGUUCCCCACUUGUCACUUUUGAUGGUUACUAGUUCGAAUCCUCAGCUUACUUGGGUUUUUGGCUCUUUGUUUGUUAAAGUUUUGAGGUCUACUAUUGCGGUGCUAAAAAGACCGUCAAGUGAGAAACGGCGUUAUGAUUUCUUGAUGAAAUGCCCAAGCCAAAUUUCAAAGCUAGCGUCUGGUAAAAUGACAGAGUCCGAUUAGAACGAGGCAUUUAGGCUCUUCAGGAGUGUAGUGCCCAAGAAAGACGUCGUUUCAAAAAAAAACAUUCAAUUAGAAAACAUUAACUAACAUACAAUAAUUCUUUGUUUUCGUUUAAUUUUUGCUCUUGUGUUGUUUUUGCCUAUGUUCAUGUGUUACACUCAUUUGUCUUUCGUCUGUAACUACUAAUCUUGGUUUUAGGCUCAAAACCCUAUGAAAUGUAAGUAAUGAAACUUUCAUCGUU
Long non-coding RNA from Helianthus annuus (common sunflower), 1987 nucleotides. RefSeq lists it as uncharacterized. Lineage: Eukaryota; Viridiplantae; Streptophyta; Magnoliopsida; Asterales; Asteraceae. The transcript is spliced from 2 exons. The record is from RefSeq and is a predicted model, not a curated record.